Molecule: transfer RNA, 61 nt
Filed under: Amblyomma americanum (Lone Star tick)
Lineage: Eukaryota; Metazoa; Arthropoda; Arachnida; Ixodida; Ixodidae
Description: tRNA-Phe
Source: RNAcentral
GUUUUUAUAGUUUAAAUCAAAACAUUACACUGAAAAUGUAAAAAUAUUUUAUUUAAAAACA